UCCAAGACCCUAGUGGAUGCCUGAAACUGCAGUAGUAUCAAGCCCUGAACGUACUGCUUUUCCUAUGCAUACAUGCCUAUGACAAAGUUUAAUUUAUAAAUUAGGCACAGUAAGAGAUGUACAACAAUUAAUAGGAUAAUUAUAACAAUACAUUGUCAUAAAUGUUAUGUGAAUGUCGUCUCCUUUUCUCUCAAAAUAUGUCAUUGUACAGUACUCACCUAUUUUUGCACCUCAGUUGACCUUGGGUAACUGAAACCGUGGACACGGAGGCUGUGGACGAGGGGAACUACUGCAUGUCUGUGCAUAUAAAAAGCAAGAUGCUGCUUCCUUGUCCCCUGAAGUCAGGCGUGGCCAUGUGACUUGCUUUGGCCAAUGAAAGGUGGACAGAAGAGAUGUGUGUUACUUCCAAGUGGAUCCUCUUAGGAACUGGUGCGCAAUUUGCCAGGCCUCCCCACUGCUGCAGCAACUGUGGGGAGCGUAGGUGGUGGAGGCCCCAAGCAGCCUGGGUCCUGAGUGGGGACGGCGUGGAGGAGAGCCUCGUGUCAGCCCGUGGUGGCCUUGUAGACCGAGCAAGAAAGAAGCCAUUGAUGCUGUCGUGUUGUGGGACUUCUGAAAAGCAGGGUUCCAAAUGGGGUUAGAGGGGCAAGAGAUCUGUGGAGGGAAAUGCCCGUGAUGGACGAAGAGGCGGAGUAGGCGUGGAGAGCCUCGGACCACACGGAAGCCUGGCGCCCGUGAGAGGACAGGAGGAAUGGAGGCGAAUUGGGCAGGAAGAGUCUCAGACUGCACCAUGGUUCUAAGAAACUUUCAGGUCAAAAACAGGCAGAAUGGAUCUGUGGUGACAGAGGCCAGCACGGUGGUCGUCUCUGGGUGGAGGAUGGACUGGGAGCAGGCCCCACCGAGCCUUCCAGUGGCUGGAAAUGCUGUUUCUCUAGGUCUGGGUGAUGAUCAAACAGAUGUCAAGAUUAGAGUGUCCUGGAGUAUCGGGUGGGCCCUGAAGCCACCAUCAGUGUCCUUAUAAGAGACAGAAGAGGAGAAGGCCACGUGAAAACACAGGCAGAGAUUGGAGUUCUGCAGCCACAAGCCAAGGAACAUUGGGGCCACCAGCAGCUGGAAGAGGUGAGGAAGUUUCCUCUGCACCCCCAGAGCCUUUGGAGGGAACACAGCCUGCCCACAGCUUAAUUUUGGACUUCUGGCCUCCACAAUUGUGAGCGAAUAAAUUCCUAUUUUUUAAACAACUAAGUUUGUGGUAAAUUGUUAAUGCAGCCCUGGGAAAUUAACAUAGUUCCCUAUCCUGUGCCUGACUAGGUUUCUGGGGGUGCUCAGUCCUGAGUCUACCCAACUAGCCCUCACUGGGGCCAGGAGGGGAGUUCCAAGUCUGGCCAAAAGGUACCUUUUUUUAACUCACUGCCCUGCCCCCUCCCAGGUUGAGGUUUAACCCUUUCACUUGUACUGGGGGGUGGGGAGCGGUGCAGGGAGGAGGGUAGCAAGAUUAACAGCAUCCUCUGCUCCGCAGAGAGUCCGAAAGAGUAUUUCAAGCCCAUACCCCCUUCCUCCUCCGCACUCGGGCCGCAGCGCCCACUCCAGGCUGGUUGAGAUUGCCAGAGUUGACCCAGAGCACGUUACUAAAAGCGAGGAGCUUUUUAAAAACAGGGAGUCUGUCUGCCUUUCCCAAUUUCUCCUCACAAACAUCACCCCCUCUUCACAGCGAUCCUCUCCCCAUGUCUCGAGUCUACCUUCUUCCUUCCCUUUUCCAUUCUUGGGGGGUAAGCUAAGACAGACACCCCCCCAGCACAGGAUGGAAGGCCCUCUCCCACCCCUCCUUCCUCCUCCCCUCAACACAGCUGGAGGGGGGAG
Microcebus murinus (gray mouse lemur) is the source of this 1854-nucleotide non-coding RNA. Lineage: Eukaryota; Metazoa; Chordata; Mammalia; Primates; Cheirogaleidae. The record is from RefSeq and is a predicted model, not a curated record.